RNAcentral lists this long non-coding RNA (357 nucleotides) under Lathyrus oleraceus (garden pea). Its description in RNAcentral is "Pisum sativum (pea) long non-coding RNA (PSAT_LNC021793)". Lineage: Eukaryota; Viridiplantae; Streptophyta; Magnoliopsida; Fabales; Fabaceae. The record is from RNAcentral.
UGUAUUCGAAGUGGACGAAGAUGAUGUUGAAGGGAUUCCUGACGAGAUUUCCCGACUUCUGUGGCAAGAAAGAAAUCACUCAGCUGCAUCUCGAGAAUCAGCAGAACAGCCAACUGGGGGCAUUAUAAAAAAAAAAGAGAAAAAAGAGAAAGAGGAGGGUGCAAAAUCAAGAAAAGAAAUCAAUCAAAAUCAAAGAAUCAAAAGAAGAAAAAGAAAGGAAAAAACAAAAGAGAAAUAGCACCCUCAAAGUCCCAAGUUGACUGAUGCUGAAUUCGAUCGAAAAGAAGAGAUCAACUGCCAUGUGUUAUGGUCAGUCAUAUCAGCAAGAGUGAAAAAGCAUUUGAUAGAAGGUCAAGC